AGAGUUUGAUCCUGGCUCAAGAACGAACGCUGGCGGCAUGCCUAACACAUGCAAGUCGAACGAGACCUUCGGGUCUAGUGGCGCACGGGUGCGUAACGCGUGGGAAUCUGCCCCUUGGUUCGGAAUAACAGUUAGAAAUGACUGCUAAUACCGGAUGAUGACGAAAGUCCAAAGAUUUAUCGCCGAGGGAUGAGCCCGCGUAGGAUUAGCUAGUUGGUGAGGUAAAGGCUCACCAAGGCGACGAUCCUUAGCUGGUCUGAGAGGAUGAUCAGCCACACUGGGACUGAGACACGGCCCAGACUCCUACGGGAGGCAGCAGUGGGGAAUAUUGGACAAUGGGCGAAAGCCUGAUCCAGCAAUGCCGCGUGAGUGAUGAAGGCCUUAGGGUCGUAAAGCUCUUUUACCAGGGAUGAUAAUGACAGUACCUGGAGAAUAAGCUCCGGCUAACUCCGUG
RNAcentral lists this ribosomal RNA (454 nucleotides) under uncultured bacterium. RNAcentral's name for it is "bacterial SSU rRNA". It matches the Rfam family "Bacterial small subunit ribosomal RNA", at positions 8 to 507 of the family's 1533-position model. The record is from RNAcentral.